RNAcentral lists this ribosomal RNA (63 nucleotides) under Ophiocordyceps sinensis. RNAcentral describes it as "partial 28S ribosomal RNA". Lineage: Eukaryota; Fungi; Ascomycota; Sordariomycetes; Hypocreales; Ophiocordycipitaceae. The record is from RNAcentral.
CACGCCCUUCCAGUUGGACCUCGGAUCAGGGUAGGGGAUUACCCGCUGAACUUAAGCAUAUCA